RNAcentral lists this long non-coding RNA (205 nucleotides) under Numida meleagris (helmeted guineafowl). RNAcentral describes it as "lncRNA (ENSNMEG00000010078.1)". The record is from RNAcentral. Lineage: Eukaryota; Metazoa; Chordata; Aves; Galliformes; Numididae.
CUUGUAGAUCAUCUAGGGUUAUUUCAUGGUUUUCAUUCAAAGUAGGAGAGAAAAUUUUCCCAGGUACCUGAAAACUUCUAAAAAAUGCUGUAAUUUUUGGAGCAAUUGCAGCUAUAUUGAUCACACGGUGAUCUGAUAUAAGAGCAUGAUGCCUCUAGACUCUCAGAUUAAGGUGAGAUAAAACAACCUGAAUUCUGUAUGUCAC